Molecule: non-coding RNA, 115 nt
Organism: Triticum urartu
Lineage: Eukaryota; Viridiplantae; Streptophyta; Magnoliopsida; Poales; Poaceae
Source: Rfam
AGAUUACUCCCUCCGUUCAGAAUUACUUGUCGCAGAAAUAGAUUUAUCUAGACGUAUUUUAGUUCUAGAUACAUCCAUUUCCGAGACAAGUAAUUCCGAACAGAGGGAGUAGAUA